CUAUGUCGAAAACUUAAUUACAAGAGGAGUAGACUAUGCCUAUUUAUAGGCUUGUAAACCUUAUUCUAAUAGGAGUGAAACUCCUUAUUCAAAUAAUAUCAAAUAGAUGGAGUUUAAUAAGGUUUAGAAACCUUAUUCUAAAAUAAAAUAAAAGAAGUAUAAUUCUAUAGGGAUUUUACUUUUAUUUUAUUUUACCACAGUAUUUUAUUUAAAUAAGGAUUUG
This 223-nucleotide long non-coding RNA is filed under the name Gossypium barbadense (sea-island cotton). Its description in RNAcentral is "long non-coding RNA (GBAR_LNC022355)". Lineage: Eukaryota; Viridiplantae; Streptophyta; Magnoliopsida; Malvales; Malvaceae. The record is from RNAcentral.